ACUAUAUUUUUAUACGACCGCAAAAUUUGAAAAAUUUUUCGUCGUAUAUUGCUAUCACGUUGGCUUCGUCGUCGUCGUCUUCGUCCGAAUACUUUUAGUUUUCGCACUCUAACUUUAGUAAAACUGAAUAGAAAUCUAUGAAAUUUUAACACAAGGUUUAUGACCACAAAAGAAAGGUUGGGAUUGAUUUUGGGAGUUUUGGUCCCAACAUUUUAGGAAUUAGGCGCCAAAAAGGGCCCAAAUAAGCAUUUUCUUGGUUUUCGCACUAUAACUUUAGUUUAAGUUAAUAGAAAUCUAUGAAAUUUUGACACAAAGUUUAUGACCACAAAAGAAAGGUUGGGAUUGAUUUUGGGAGUUUUGUUUCCAACAGUUUAGGAAUUAGGGGCCAAAAAAGGGCCCAAAUAAGCAUUAUUCUUAGUUUUCGCACAAUAACUUUAGUUUAAGUUAAUUGAAAUCAAUGAAAUUUAAACACAAUGUUUAUGACCACAAAAGGAAGGUUGGUAUUGAUUUUGGGAGUUGAGGUCCCAACAGUUUAGGAAUUAGGGGCCAAAAAGGGACCCAAAUAAGCAUUUUUCUUGGUUUUCGCACCAUAACUUUAGUAUAAGUAAAUAGAAAUGUAUGAAAUUUAAACACAAGGUUUAUGACCAUAAAAGGAAGGUUGGUAUUGAUUUUGGGAGUUUUGGUCCCAACAGUUUAGGAAUAAAGGGCCCAAAGGGUCCAAAAUUAAACUUUGUUUGAUUUCAUCAAAAAUUGAAUAAUUGGGGUUCUUUGAUAUGCCGAAUCUAACUGUGUAUGUAGAUUCUUAAUUUUUGGUCCUGUUUUCAAAUUGGUCUACAUUAAGGUCCAAAGGGUCCAAAAUUAAACUUAGUUUGAUUUUAACAAAAAU
RNAcentral lists this long non-coding RNA (886 nucleotides) under Mytilus galloprovincialis (Mediterranean mussel). Lineage: Eukaryota; Metazoa; Mollusca; Bivalvia; Mytilida; Mytilidae. The record is from RNAcentral.